AUGGCAACGGGGGCUAGAGGAGGGCAGCCGAGCGUUCUGAGCACAUUACCCAAGGAUUUGCCGCUAGAUUUUCUAAAGACUAUCACCGAUCAGUUCUCAGAGCGUAUACUCGGUACAGGCGCAUUUGGAACUGUUUAUAUGGGGAUUGCGCCAGACGGGCAAAAAAUUGCGGUGAAGAAACUUGCCGAAAAUACACCAAUCGCGCGUGACAAAGUAUUUACUAACGAGGUUCAUAAUAUUAUGGCUCUGCAACUGCAUCAUGAAAAUGUAGUAAAGUUGGUCGGCUACUGCCAUGAAGCCCAGAAGAAAGUGGUGCAGAACAAUGGAAGAUAUAUUGUUGCAGACAUUGUUGAAAGUUUAUUCUGCUACGAGUACUUGCCGCACGGAACCUUCAGAAGAAUCGUAUCUAAUGUAAAAUAUGUAAUGGACUGGGACACACGCUUCAAAAUCAUCAAGGGAAUCUGCCAAGGUUUGGCCUUCCUACACAAGACUAACAUUGUUCAUAUGGAUCUUAAACAUGAGAAUAUAUUGCUGGAUGGUAAGAUGACCCCGAAAAUUGCGGAUUUCGGUCUCUCGAGGCUCUUCGGUCAAGAACAAACACGGAUGAGAAUACAAAAUGUUGUUGGAUCAUAUGGAUACAUAGCUCCAGAAUAUCUAUACAAAGGUGAGUCCACCAAGUCAGACAUAUAUAGUUUGGGCCUAUUAAUCUUGGAGACCACCACAGUUGAGAAAAUUUGUUCCAACAACGAGCCAUCUGCGACGCAAUUUAUAAAAAGUGUACGUGAUAUCUGGACGGAUGAGCACAUAGUGUCUCAGUGCUCACAUCUUGAUGGGGAUCGCCUUCAGCAGAUAAAAGUAUGCAUCAAAAUUGGACUAGAAUGUGUGGAGAUCGAUCGGCAGAAGAGACCUUCCAUAGAAGAGAUUGUCGAUAGGCUCAACGGACUACGGUCAACUGAAAGUUGA
RNAcentral lists this ribosomal RNA (963 nucleotides) under Triticum aestivum (bread wheat). RNAcentral's name for it is "partial small subunit ribosomal RNA". Lineage: Eukaryota; Viridiplantae; Streptophyta; Magnoliopsida; Poales; Poaceae. The record is from RNAcentral.